UGCCAGCAGCCGCGGUAAUACGUAGGGGGCCAGCGUUGCUCGGAAUUACUGGGCGUAAAGGGUUCGUAGGUGGUGCGGUAAGUUGGGAGUGAAAUCUCUGGGCUUAACUCAGGGGCUGCUUUCAAAACUGCCGUGCUUGAGUGCGAGAGAGGCCAGUGGAAUUGCAGGUGUAGCGGUGAAAUGCGUAGAUAUCUGCAGGAACACCCGUGGCGAAGGCGGCUGGCUGGAUCGCAACUGACACUGAGGAACGAAAGCUAGGGGAGCAAACAGGAUUAGAUACCCUGGUAGUCCUAGCCCUAAACCAUCAGAACUUGGGGUGGCCCGCGUAGGCGGGUCGUCCCGCAGCUAACGCGUUAAGUUCUGCGCCUGGGGAGUACGGUCGCAAGACUGAAACUCAAAGGAAUUGAUCGGGGGCCCGCACAAG
Molecule: ribosomal RNA, 424 nt
Filed under: uncultured bacterium
Lineage: Bacteria
Description: bacterial SSU rRNA
Rfam family: Bacterial small subunit ribosomal RNA
Source: RNAcentral